RNAcentral lists this ribosomal RNA (253 nucleotides) under uncultured bacterium. Its description in RNAcentral is "partial 16S ribosomal RNA". It matches the Rfam family "Bacterial small subunit ribosomal RNA", at positions 524 to 776 of the family's 1533-position model. The record is from RNAcentral.
UACGUAGGGGGCGAGCGUUGUCCGGAUUUAUUGGGCGUAAAGAGCGCGCAGGCGGUCGUACAAGUCGCGUGUGAAAGCCCCCGGCUCAACUGGGGAGGGUCACGCGAUACUGUUCGACUCGAAGACAGGAGAGGGAAGCGGAAUUCCCGGUGUAGUGGUGAAAUGCGUAGAUAUCGGGAGGAACACCAGUGGCGAAGGCGGCUUCCUGGCCUGUUCUUGACGCUGAGGCGCGAAAGCUAGGGUAGCAAACGGG